GAUGAACGCUGGCGGCUUGCUUAACACAUGCAAGUCAAACGAUAACCCCCACUGUGGGGGGGUUAGUGGGGACACGGGGAGGUAACCGUGAGGUAACCGCCCCUUGCCUCGGGGAUAGGCCGGGGAAACGGGGUCUAAUACUGAAAACACCCUUCGGGCCAUUCCCUGGUGGGUGGAAGGCUUUGGUGGUUUUGGUUGGACUCGCGGCCUAUCAGCUUGUUGGUGGGGUAAUGGCCUACCAAGGCGACGACGGGUAGCCGGCCUGAGAGGGUGACCGGCCACACUGGGACUGAGACACGGCCCAGACUCCUACGGGAGGCAGCAGUGGGGAAAAUUGCACAAUGGGCGCAAGCCUGAUGCAGCGACGCCGCGUGAGGGAUGAAGGCCUUCGGGUUGUAAACCUCUUUCAGUAGGGAAGAAGCCGGCUUUUGGGUUGGUGACGGUACCUGCAGAAGAAGCGCCGGCUAACUACGUG
Molecule: ribosomal RNA, 475 nt
Filed under: uncultured bacterium
Lineage: Bacteria
Description: partial 16S ribosomal RNA
Rfam family: Bacterial small subunit ribosomal RNA
Source: RNAcentral